UUCUGAUUUUUUUUUUCCCCUCCUCCUUCCUCCCCCCUCCCUUUUCCCUCCACUGGGCUGACAGAUCAGAGAGGCGCUGCCAGUGGACUAGGAAGCUCGGCUGAUACUGCUCCCGCCCUGGGCUUCAGAGAGUCUUUCCCUGUCGAACAAGAGGGCCAAGAAGGCAGGGCUGCCCGCCUGCACUGGAAGAGACAGCAGCCUCCUACAGCACCACUACAGGCACUGCGAGGACAUAACACCAUAGAGCAGUUCCUCUGCCCUCCGAAACGACAACUUUCCUACCAUCUUGGAGGCAGAGAAAAGAGGGGCCAAGGGAAAAAGUGCACCGGCUCCGGAUAAAGUACAAAUUUCUACCUCUCAUCUCUGGAAAAAGUCCACACUCGCGGUCUACACCGGCGCCUAGGGGUCUGAAAAGCAAGGGAAGAAAACUGAAGCGAGUUCAUUUGCUCCGUGGGGGGGAAUGUUUCUGCACCUUCUGAUGGAAAGAAAUCUUUACAAGACACAGGUUUUACGAUAUUGUUGUUUUCCAUUUUAACUUUUUUCCAUGAUGGUGAUAGUGGUAGCUUAAGUUUUGUUUUGGUUUGGUUUGUUUUCAGGCUAAUAAUGAGUUUUCUCUAUGGCAGGUCCAAGUUCUGUAUCUGGUGGUCAGUCUGUAAACAGGCACCUCAGAGACUUAUAGGUCACUUUAUUGUGUUUAUUUUAUUGCCCGUUUGUAUUGUAUGUAUGCGUGUUUAUGUUUUCAUGGGUUACAGUUAGGAUUUUGUGGGUUUGGUGUCCAGGAAACUGAGGGUGCUACAAGUCAAUUGUAAAGAGAUGUCUUUUGUCUUCUCUCAAAGCAAUGUAAGUAAAACCUAUUGGCUGUCCAGAAAGGCAUUAAUACAGCUGUUUAUUUUUCACAGUGCAAAUCAAAGCACUGUGUAUUUAAAGUCUCCUUACAACAGACCAAGCCUGUGAUGGUCUAGCUGCCCAAGAAGAAAGAUGACUCCUGUUAACCUACCAGGAAAGAUGCUUUGGAUUUUCUUUCAGUAAAAUUGUGUAUUAAGAAUGACA
This is a non-coding RNA of Cricetulus griseus (Chinese hamster), 1050 nucleotides long. NCBI's taxonomy places the organism in Eukaryota, Metazoa, Chordata, Mammalia, Rodentia, Cricetidae. The record is from RefSeq and is a predicted model, not a curated record.